RNAcentral lists this ribosomal RNA (515 nucleotides) under uncultured bacterium. Its description in RNAcentral is "partial 16S ribosomal RNA". It matches the Rfam family "Bacterial small subunit ribosomal RNA", at positions 28 to 523 of the family's 1533-position model. The record is from RNAcentral.
GAUGAACGCUGGCGGCGUGCCUAAUACAUGCAAGUCGAGCGAAUGGAUUAAGAGCUUGCUCUUAUGAAGUUAGCGGCGGACGGGUGAGUAACACGUGGGUAACCUGCCCAUAAGACUGGGAUAACUCCGGGAAACCGGUGCUAAUACCGGAUAACAUUUUGAACCGCCUGGUUCGAAAUUGAAAGGCGGCUUCGGCUGUCACUUAUGGAUGGGCCCGCGUCGCAUUAGCUAGUUGGUGAGGUAACGGCUCACCAAGGCAACGAUGCGUAGCCGACCUGAGAGGGUGAUCGGCCACACUGGGACUGAGACACGGCCCAGACUCCUACGGGAGGCAGCAGUAGGGAAUCUUCCGCGAUGGACGAAAGUCUGACGGAGCAACGCCGCGUGAGUGAUGAAGGCUUUCGGGUCGUAAAACUCUGUUGUUAGGGAAGAACAAGUGCUAGUUGAAUAAGCUGGCACCUUGACGGUACCUAACCGGAAAGCCACGGCUAACUACGUGCCAGCAGCCGCAGUAA